GUCUGGAUGGCGUAGUGAUCAGCGCAUCUCCUUAAUAAGCAGAAGACCCGGGUUCGAAUCCCGGUCCGGCACA
This 73-nucleotide transfer RNA is filed under the name Schistocerca americana (American grasshopper). RNAcentral's name for it is "tRNA-Ile". It matches the Rfam family "tRNA". Rfam says of the family: Transfer RNA (tRNA) molecules are approximately 80 nucleotides in length. Their secondary structure includes four short double-helical elements and three loops (D, anti-codon, and T loops). The record is from RNAcentral. Lineage: Eukaryota; Metazoa; Arthropoda; Insecta; Orthoptera; Acrididae.